GGGGCGGAAGACAAGACAAAAAUGACUCCAGUUCGCUAGACGCGCAGAGGGGCGGAUAGCGCGCGGACCCCGCCUUCCCCAACCGAGUGUGGGUUCCAGUCGCUGGGGAGGACCUGGUGGCCCCCUGACCUUGGACGAGCCAUAUUGGACGCCCCGGCGCCGUCCCGUCUUCCACGCUGCCAACUCCACCGCUCCCGCCCCGAACUGCGGCCUAGGAGCCACCGCAGCGCACCCAGCCCGCGAGUACAGCCGCAUGGGAAUAAUCCCAACAUUUGCCUGAUUUAUUUUCUUCCCUCUCCUUACGCUUGUACUUGUUUUUCUCCUCUCGCUGUUUUCCCUUCACACUAAUUCGCAACCUGGCAGUUUGCAAAGAGGAAACUCCCUUUCGGAAUGGAAAGCCGCUUUUGCUUCUUGUUGUUGGGGGUGGAAAACAUUCCAGCGAGAAUGAGUUCAAAAAGAAGGGAAACCGCGUCACUGGAGAGAAAGUAACAUUAAGAGAUCGAUGAGGACGGAGUGGGUAGGGGGGACAGAGAGAGGAACGUCUGCAACAGGCAUCUAAAAACAAGCGUGGAGGAGCAAAGAUUCCCAAUCCCCGGGUUACUACCGCGCGCGUUCUGCGCGAGCCAUUGCAAUGCCAGCAUUUACUGUAAGCAGAAUUUGAAGGCUUUUGAAAUCUUUUUUUGGUAAGACUUACCUUUCUCUUCGGCAUAAUGACUAUGUCGGUGAAGCAAAAAGUAAAGCAACGGACUGGAACUGCUGGCGCCGCCGCUGGAUGCUGCCUCUGCCUCUGCAGCUGCUCACGCGCAGGGCACGACGUAGCCCGGCCUCUUCGACCUGCACCUCCGCGGCUCCCUCUGGGGGCCCUCUGCUCGCCUCCCUGCUGCUCCAAUGAGGAGCCCCGCCAGCCGGCCGCGAGGCCCCAUUGGCUGAGGCAACGUUCUAAAUUCCACGAGGGCACGCCCACCUCCGCGCGCGGUACGCGCUGUUGUAGUUUCCACUUCACCGAAAAAAAUCUGCCUGGCGACUGAGCAUGCCCAGUUCAACUAGUAGCCUCCAGGCCACACAAUCCUGAAGUUUCAUUGUUUCGCUGCUCUCUCUUUGAGAUUGUAAGAAUAAGAACAGUGUGUGUCUUCAUAGGAAGGAAAAAGAGUAAGAAUGAAUACGUAAACUUUAUAAUGUAAAUAUAUACACAGCAGGUACCUUAUUCAUUUCCUACCCAUAAAGGCUUUUAAUGAAUGUUACAUGGUGGGAAUCUGUAAAGCGUGGGAAGGUACUCUGUACUGGAAGAGCGUGGCAACUUCUAAAGGCCUCAGUUUCCCCCCCUAGAUAUAUAGUGACAACAGUCCCUAAAAUCACUUAGCUCUAAUUUUCUGAAAUCUGUGAUUAUAAAUCACUCACUAAUUCAGCUAACUUCAAACUAGAUGUGAAGACGAAUAGGACAUGUUUGUUACGGAAAUUAGGAAAAGAAAGAACAAGGCAAAAACUGAUUAUUUUAUAUUUGAGACAUAUAUUUGAAUGACACCCGUCAUGUUACACUUUAUGCGUAAUAUUUCUCAAAGUUCUGCAAGGCAUAAAAUGAGCAUUGCAAAAAUAUUUCUGAAUUCAUUUUAUGAGACCAGAUUUACUCUGAUACCAAAACCAGUGAAAGACUUCAAAAGAGAGUUACAGACCAAUAUCACUCAUAAACAUAGACACAAAAGUCGUGAACAAAAUUUUAGUAAAUGAAACUCAACAACAUUUAAAGGGACAAUACAUCAUGACCUGUGGGGCUUAUCUUGGGAAUGCAAAGCUGCUUUUUUAAUAUCUGAGAAUCAAUCAAUGUAAUUGGCAGGAUUAAUAGAAUAAAGGGGGAAAAACAAUCCUUUCAGCAGAUGCAGGAAAAGCGCUAGUGAAUGGGUAAGCAAAUUGUGAUGAGCACAUGCAGUGGAAUACUAUUCAGCAAUAAAAAACAAUAAAAAAUUUUCCUACAUGGAUGAAUAUCAAAAACAAAGUGCUGUACGAAAGAAGUCAAAUACAAAAGACCACACUGAAUGAUUGCAUUCAUAUGAAAUUAUAGAAAAAGCAAAAUUGGGCAAAGUUAGUUUCAGAAUCAUCUUAGCAGGCAAAGCUCACAUCAUAGGAAAAUGUGUUGAAGCCUUACAUUACAAAUAUGGCCAAAUCCACUUUGGUAACACAGAGGCUGCAAAUAUGUAUUAAAAAUAUCAUGUAUUAAAUAUGUAUUAAAAAAGCAAUGAAGUUUAAUAUUUCACUUUUUCUUUAGUAAUUUUCAGAAUACAUUAAUUGAUCUAGUACUCUCCAGAGGUGGUUGAUUACUUUCUUUUUUGGAACAUCUUUAUGAACUCAUGGAUUUUUACAUAUUUGGUGUGCAUCAGUGUAUUGCUAUCAUUAUUAUUACCUUUUUAAUGCUCCUAUUACCACAUCUUUAGCCAAUGCAUACCCUUUCAAAUUAGUGCUUGUGUCCUUUUGACAUGAUCUUAAUCAUUUUUGAUAGAUUCCCUGUUCUUGGGCAUUCAGUGAAUGACAAUAGUAUACUGAAACGAAUUAAGAUAAAAACCAAUUGCUUAGAGCUAGAUAAAAAUUUACAAGUUAAUAAUUUUAUCAUUAAAAUAAUAUUUAUAAUGAAGAUGUCUUUCAAGAUAUUAAUUUGCCAAAUACUUGAUAGUUAAAUAAAGAAAAAGUCAGUGAAAACAUUUUUAGUAAGAUAUGUGUGAGAAGGAUACUGAGUAGCACUUGCAAUCUGGACUGGAUGGCUAUUUUUCUUCAUGGAGAUGGAAAGGUGCCACAACAAAGGUAGUGCUAAGGUGAAUAUUUCUCCUCUGUGAUGAAAAAUAACUCACAAAAUUGGCUUCUUUGUUAAUUUUUUUUCAAAACCAAACACUCAGAUCAUCAACAGCAAACAAAAUUGUGAAUGUUUUUACUGCACACAAUAAAAAUGCUACGAUGAAA
RNAcentral lists this long non-coding RNA (2946 nucleotides) under Homo sapiens (human). RNAcentral describes it as "HSALNT0335231". Lineage: Eukaryota; Metazoa; Chordata; Mammalia; Primates; Hominidae. The record is from RNAcentral.